GUACGGUGGCGGACGGGUGAGUAACGCGUAAAGAAUUUGCCCUUCAGACUGGGACAACUAACCGAAAGGUUAGCUAAUACCGGAUAUUAUGAGACCUUGGCAUCAAGGACUUAUGAAAGCUAUAUGCGCUGGAGGAGAACUUUGCGUCCCAUUAGGUAGUUGGUAGGGUAAUGGCCUACCAAGCCGACGAUGGGUAGCCGGCCUGAGAGGGUGAACGGCCACAAGGGGACUGAGACACGGCCCUUACUCCUACGGGAGGCAGCAGUGGGGAAUAUUGGACAAUGGACCAAAAGUCUGAUCCAGCAAUUCUGUGUGCACGAUGAAGGUCUUCGGAUUGUAAAGUGCUUUCAGGUGGGAAGAAGAAAGUGACGGUACCACCAGAAGAAGCGACGGCUAAAUACGUGCCAGCAGCCGCGGUAAUACGUAUGUCGCAAGCGUUAUCCGGAAUUAUUGGGCGUAAAGCGAGUCUAGGCGGCUUGUUAAGUCAGAUGUGAAAAUGCGGGGCUCAACUCCGUAUUGCGUUUGAAACUGGCAGGCUAGAGUACUGGAGA
RNAcentral lists this ribosomal RNA (551 nucleotides) under Psychrilyobacter sp. B57-02. RNAcentral describes it as "bacterial SSU rRNA". It matches the Rfam family "Bacterial small subunit ribosomal RNA", at positions 90 to 655 of the family's 1533-position model. The record is from RNAcentral. Lineage: Bacteria; Fusobacteriati; Fusobacteriota; Fusobacteriia; Fusobacteriales; Fusobacteriaceae.